CGCUACAGCCAUACCACCCUGAGUGCACCCGAUCUCAUCUGAUCUCAGAAGCUAGGCAGGGUAGGCAUGGUUAGUACUUGGAUGGGAGACCACCUGGGAAUACUGGGUGCUGUAGGCU
Ribosomal RNA from Balaenoptera musculus (blue whale), 118 nucleotides. The record is from Ensembl. NCBI's taxonomy places the organism in Eukaryota, Metazoa, Chordata, Mammalia, Artiodactyla, Balaenopteridae.